UGGAGAUUUCAUUUAAAUCAACAUUGCCACCAUGACCACCACUUUCAACAACAUUAGUAACAACAUCAGCUCCAACAACAUUGUUAACAUUAACAUCAGCUUGCUCAACAUGUCGUGAUUUUGCAUUUGCACAACAUUCUCUUCAUUAGCAUCUUCAGUUAUCCACUCAUUCAUAAGAAUUAAUAUAUCUUCAAAUGAAGUAACUUUUCGUUUCCAG
This 217-nucleotide long non-coding RNA is filed under the name Medicago truncatula (barrel medic). RNAcentral describes it as "long non-coding RNA (MTRU_LNC005994)". Lineage: Eukaryota; Viridiplantae; Streptophyta; Magnoliopsida; Fabales; Fabaceae. The record is from RNAcentral.